AUAAAUUGGACAUGGAUAUACAUUUUCCUUUACGAAUGAUCGCUUUACUGGUGACUUUCCACAUAGCCGUUUGUCAAGGUAAUUUCAUAUUUGCAUAAAAAAAAUGAAGAAACAGCUUAGAUGUCAUAUUACGAAUAAUGUAAGCAUUAUUAAAGUAUUCCUAAAACAAAAAGUCGAAAUAAAUCAAAUAAUAAAAUGAUUUAAAUAGCACAAAUUACUGUAAUUGCAAAACAACUGAUCAAUAAAUUAUCUCCAGCGAACGAACCAUCUUGUAUGUAGCUACCCGUUUAUCAUAUUUGUAUUAGAUAUAAUUUAUACCUUUAAUAUUUUCUUUUAAAAUAAAUCUUCACAGUACAUAGUUUUAAUUGAUAGUAUUCAUGGUAGGACUUCGCAAAAACAAAUACGGUAAACCAGGCUUCAAAAAAGUAAUUGUUAUUAGCUUGUUGUUCAAUUUACUGAAACAGUCGACCCAAUUGUUUCCACUUUACCCAGUUAAUUUCAAAGUAAAACAAUAAUAUGUAACAGAUAUGCGACAAGCAAAUUCUUAAAUUUGUAUGAUAUUUCAAACAUUAAGAACUUAGACAAGACAAGACUUACAAUUUUUAGAUAAGCAUCUGUAUACCGCCUUCAUAAAUGUAUUUUAACAUCAUUCAUGUCAUGUUGUCCAAUUUUAGACUUAUAAUUUUUAAACAAGCACCUGUAUACCCACUACUUAUUAAUAUAUUUGUAACAUUAUUCAUGUCAUAAUAGUCUUUCCAAAAAUUUUAGGUGUCUUCAUUGUGUGUUUGCAAACGACAAAUGAUUAUUCAACCCAGCCUUGUCAAUCAAAAAUUCUCCCUAAUGUCACGAAUCUAUUGCGAAAACGAGUAAUCACCAAUAAAAAGUUUUUUUGCAAUUAGAUGUGAUUAAAAUCAUUCUUUAAAGUCAUGUUUACUACUUAUCACAGAUGAACUAACAGAUAGAUUGGGACAGUCAACUGGAUCAGAUAAUGAAACAGGAAACUCGUCUAACCUAAGUGUUCUUUGGAUAUGUGUUGCAUUUGCUGCCGUCCUUGCUGUUUGCAUGAUAAUUGCUAGUUUUUUGUGAUUCAAAGAAAAAUGAAAAACAAAAACGAAAUGUAUGUAUAUAUAAUAAAGAAGAGUACUUCA
RNAcentral lists this long non-coding RNA (1148 nucleotides) under Mytilus galloprovincialis (Mediterranean mussel). The record is from RNAcentral. Lineage: Eukaryota; Metazoa; Mollusca; Bivalvia; Mytilida; Mytilidae.